GGCAAGAUGGCCGAGUUGGUUAUGGCGUAGGAUUAAGGUGUUUAAUCCAUGUUUCCUAUGGAGAAAUCCGCGUGGGUUCAAGUCCCACUCUUGUCA
Molecule: transfer RNA, 96 nt
Rfam family: tRNA
About the family: Transfer RNA (tRNA) molecules are approximately 80 nucleotides in length. Their secondary structure includes four short double-helical elements and three loops (D, anti-codon, and T loops).
Source: Rfam